ACUAUUUUGGCAGACAAGUGCCAUGAAUUUAGAAUUCAUUUAUGUAAGUAAUUUACUCUUACAAAUAGUA
Molecule: transfer RNA, 70 nt
Filed under: Coeliccia cyanomelas
Lineage: Eukaryota; Metazoa; Arthropoda; Insecta; Odonata; Platycnemididae
Description: tRNA-Leu
Source: RNAcentral